AUUCCAGCUCCAAUAGCGUAUAUUAAAGUUGUUGCAGUUAAAACGCUCGUAGUCGGAUUUCGGGGCGGGCCGACCGGUCUGCCGAUGGGUAUGCACUGGCCGGCGCGUCCUUCCACCCGGAGACCGCGCCUACUCUUAACUGAGCGGGCGCGGGAGACGGGUCUUUUACUUUGAAAAAAUCAGAGUGUUUCAAGCAGGCAGUCGCUCUUGCAUGGAUUAGCAUGGGAUAAUGAAAUAGGACUCUGGUGCUAUUUUGUUGGUUUCGAACACCGGAGUAAUGAUUAACAGGGACAGUUGGGGGCAUUCGUAUUUCAUUGUCAGAGGUGAAAUUCUUGGAUUUACGAAAGACGAACUUCUGCGAAAGCAUUUGCCAAGGAUGUUUUCAUUG
Molecule: ribosomal RNA, 388 nt
Filed under: Gephyrocapsa cf. muellerae
Lineage: Eukaryota; Haptophyta; Isochrysidales; Noelaerhabdaceae
Description: partial small subunit ribosomal RNA
Rfam family: Eukaryotic small subunit ribosomal RNA
Source: RNAcentral